CUCUUGUGUAUGUGUUAUUAAGAUAUUGUUUCAGUAGUGAAUUUGAAAUCUUUCUUAAUUUAUUUUUAAUUCCUGAUCAAUUAUUUGUAAUUCGAAAGCAGUUUUUUUGAUUAGCAGAAUCUAAUUGUAUUCUGAUUAGCAGAACAUAAUUUCUAACAAUAAGAAGGGAGAUAACCCAGUCUUUAUAUAUAUAUAUAUUUCAUUCUUUUCCCCUAUCUCAAGGUCCCAAUGAACACCAAGCACCCAAGACCAGAGGUGUGUCCUGGAUUGCAGGGCAGUGAUGCAGCAAAGCAAACGCACAGGAGUGAGCUGCAGAACUUGAAUGUUUGGGACUACAUUCAAGGAGGCAAUUAGGCACCUAAUUCCCAAAUUAUGUACUUCAAAAACCCUCAUCAGCCAAUGCUCAGUCUUGGAAGCACCAAUUCUUAACACUUUGGGCUGCUGCAGGUGCACUUCCUGAAUGUUGCACUGAAUGUUGCUCAGAUCUUUGUAUGGCCAAGCAGCUCAUUGAUUAAUGUGCCCCUGAGACCCAUCAGUGCAGGUUAACUGGGCGUUUCUCUGUGAGAGUUCCUUACAGUUAUGAUGGUUGUGCAUGUUUGUGGCCAUCUAAAAGAAAACAAAGUCUAGAUUAAAGAGUACUGAAGUGCCUGUAAUGUGAACUAUGCUGCUCGUUUUUAUUUAUUUAUUUAUUUAUUUAUACAUCUGGUUCAUAGCAUCAGAGCAAGCACUUGUAUCGAUUUUUCACUUCCUUCUCAAUUCACCGUCUUCAAGAUAGGUCUUAGACUAAAACUUUUUGAAAUGAUUUCUCGGAGUCUAGCAAAAAAAAAAAAAAAUGAAGUCAUGUGUAUCAAACGUGUUAUCAAGUAAUUACUAGAACUGCCAAGCACAGCAUGAUACCUACAGAGAGUAACACCCAGUAUUUCACAUAUGAAAUGUGGUGACUUUGCCCCAUGCUGACUCAGACAGCAAGUACUUCUGAAACCAGUGACCAAAGUUUCAAGUGUUUACAAAAGAGAAUUUCCUCUAGAAAGGUUUCCAGUCUGUCUGAGGACAGUGCAUAUGUUUGAAAGGUUCUUACUGAAUAAAAUAAAAUAAAAUAAAAUAAAAUAAAAUAAAAUAAAAUAAAUUCAAAUUCAGAUUUAUCUGCUUGGUCACUGACAUUACAAAGAACAAAUGAGGGCCAUGGAGCUUUUUUCCAUCCAGUUUUCCUUUUGAUGCUACCACUUACAGGGGUGCAAAUGAAAAUCAUAGACUUAACAUACCUAUAGAACACCAGAGGUUUUGUUGGCUAUCAUGCCACAACCACCAGAAAAUGGAUUAGAGUAAAACACAGGCAGUAAUCCUGUGGGAGUGUAUUUAUAAGAUAUUGGAAGGUUAAUUAUUGGCAUGAUUUGAAUCAGAGUCUGACCCUGUGCCAGAGGGGUGUUGAUGAGGGGGUCUCUGAGUUCCUGCUGAAGCCCACUGGUGAAAAGAGCUUGUUGUCCCUCAGCAGCAGGUAACACCUCCUGAAAACAAAUGUGAGGGACACGCUUAGCUCCUGUGCACAUUUAUUUAGCAACAUAUGUUACAAUCAUCUGCCAAAAUAAAAAUAAUCAAUCCGUGUUGACAGCAGGACCUGCCAGCUUGGUUUGUUGGAUAUUUAUUACCCACGCUGCCAGCAGGCAGCAGAUGUACAGUAUGUUUCUACUACUGACUAAUCACUGAAUAGGAAGUCAAAAAGGCUAAAUGAAAAGAAAACAUGAUGAAGCAUCUCCUCACUUAAGUGGUAACUCCUUGUCUUAACCAGAACUCUAUACAUUUGGCAACACCUCUGUACAUCCAUAUCCCUCCCUCAGUGCUGAAAUUUUAGGUCACUUUAUUAUUCUUUUCUGUUAAUUGCUUUGCGACUGACAGGCUUUGAAGCAGUGCAUUUUUCUCUUAUCAUACAAGCUGGAAAAGCGCCCAAAGCAUUAGCUCAUCAGCCAGCCAUUUGUACCUGCUGCUCACUGUCUGCUACUACUAAAUAUAUGCUAAUGAUGCUAUCUGAAUCUUGGGAGGAUCGGGAUGAGUUUGUAAAUUGUGCUCACGCCAGGAAAAUGAAUGCUACUUGCAAAGAUGACAAAGAAAGCAGCUGCUUUUAGAUGAGAUGAAUCACCACAUUUCAUAUUACUCUGGGGAAUGGGAGGAUAUGAACUGAACAUCCCAGGGAGUUGCCUGGCUGUGACCUUUGUAGACAAACUAUUUUAUCUCUUCCCUGGUUCUGCCCCAGGAGUUGUCAUCCACAGGAAUACCUCAAGGUCAAAGUACAACUUUCUUACCAGUAAAAACAAGACGCUGAAGUCACAGUGGGGUGACCAACAGGAAAUUUUGGCCACGUCUGAAAGAGCUGCACUUCCAUUUGGGAAGAGAUGUGUUUAUAUGUUAAACUGAGAUCAACUGCAAGAAAUACUGCUGUGCAGCUGGAAACAUCAGAGGACCAGAGGUCUGUUUGAAAUGUCAGGGAAGAGUGGAAAAUUCAUUACAGUUUUGGCAGAAGGAGAUGGAUGUGGGAAGAGAGGGUUUUCAUUACAGAUACCGUCUGAUGGUAGCCUUACCAGGAAAUAGCUGUAUAUUUGUAUUUUUGAAGGCAGGUUUCCAGCCUAAUAAUGCUACUAUUGCUGUCCUUUGAGAGCUGCUAUGCCUCUGAGAAUGCCACGCACUGCACCGCUUGCCAUAAAGGCACAAUUGUGCUGUCAUGCAAAGUGAGGGCUUUGCUCUAACAGAGCACAUCAUCACGCAGCGUGUACGUGGAUACAGACACGCAUGCAGAGUGUGCGGGCAGGGUGCAGAGCAAGCUCACAGGGAAAAGAACCUCGAUUUCAUAUUGCCUUUUAUGUUGCCUGAAAUAUCAGGGCCACGAUUUCAAGUUAUGAAUGCCUGCACUGUUAUAUCCAUGUCACUCCCAUUUGGUGCACUUUGAAAACAUCUGCAUGUGCAAAAUAAAUUCUUAUACAUAAUAAUUGUCACCAGCAGAUGUUUUGUGCACCAUUCUGACUACUGAGCAACAUCUCCUAAUAAAAGCAGAAUCCUAUUGCACAUCCACCCACUGCACAAGUGCAGUUUUCCUUUGUUUUUCUCCAAAUAUGCACAUAAUUUAAAUUUAGUCCUAAUUUGUAGUUUCUUAGAUUCAAAGUUAAUUACAUCAUUCUACACAUAUGCCAGAAGUCCUAUACACAGCACUUUGAGAAAGCACCAGGAUUGAAUGCAGUGUCUUCAGGAUCUGUAUUGAGUGUGGCGGGUUUAGAUGUUUUUCUCAAAA
Long non-coding RNA from Oxyura jamaicensis (ruddy duck), 3277 nucleotides. RefSeq lists it as uncharacterized. The record is from RefSeq and is a predicted model, not a curated record. NCBI's taxonomy places the organism in Eukaryota, Metazoa, Chordata, Aves, Anseriformes, Anatidae. The transcript is spliced from 2 exons.